GAGAAGGAGAAGAGAGAAGGAGUAGUAUUUAGUGACCAGAACUGUAUGGAGUGUAUCUUUUGUGUGUGUGUGUGUAUGUGUGUGCGUGUGUGUGUGUGUGUGUGUGUGUGUGUGGGGGGGGUGGUAUCUAUAUAGUUUGUAUCUAUAUUAAGUUAAUCUUUGGUGUGUGUCUAUUUGGUGUGUUUAUCUUUAUGGUGUGUAUCUAUAUGGUGUGUAUCUAUGGUGUAUUGUGGCGUCCCGCCCCUUAAACCUCGGUCCGGAUGGACCCGAGGUUUCAUCCUGGAUGGCAAAUACUACCGUCAUCCACCAGCCGGCGACGGAGAACACCUGGCUGGACAGCCAGGAAGACAUUUUAAAAGGAGCACGAGGACUGGCAUUUGGGAGGAACGGGAGCGAGAGAGAAGGAAGCGCUCGGGUCCGCGAGCGACUAGAGGCUCACGGAGGGCCCAAGAGACUGUCUAUCAUGGAUAUUUAACUGCAGUUCUGUGAGUAUCCCAACUUAACCAUGAAGAUGAACUGCGAACUGUAAGUCAUUAAUUUCUCAUUACUCUUGGGCACAUUGAUGUAUUUUGGCUUCCUGGUGAGUUAGCCCGUUACCUGAAGGUUGAUCUGAGUAAGGAUGUUUUAUUGGUUCAUGGGUUACUCAGGAGGUUGGUUUUAAUGAUUUGUUAAAAUGGUUACAGGCUCCAGUGAAUUGUUGUAAGCAGGAGUAAUGGGUUGGGUUCUGAUAUCUUCAGUCUUCUUUCAUUCUACUCUCCUGAGCUCUGCAUCUUCAUCACAUGAGUGUUGCUUUACUGAGGAGGGUGUGGUCUGAGUGAGCGGAGGUGCAUACUGGGAUACAGAGCUGUCUGAAGUCUACAGGUCUGUAGACACGCCCCCUCAGGGGAAACCGAGUGUUUGAGAAACCGUCGUGACGUCAGUUACAUGGACUGGAAUGUUCUUUAAAAUGGAGACAGGGAUUCAGAAGGAGAAACACCAGGGGGAGAUGAGGCGGCUCUUCAUCUCAACGACUAAAACACAACUUCAGUCUGACACAGAGAACCAUGGAACACAUUCAACAGUCUCCUCCAGGCAUCGUGACUCCUCAGGAACAGUUUAAUUUCCAAGAAGGUCCUAUUUGGGGCCAUCCCCAUAUGGAUCCUGCUCCUCAAGAGCCACCCCCCUCCACUGGGUGGUCUUCUGAACAGAUGACCUCCUUCCUGUCCUCAGGCUGACAAAAGCUGCACCGUUUGCAUCUGUGAAAGCCCGUCAUUCAGGAAACCAAUGGACUGCAAAGACAUGACUACAAAGACGUUGAAUCAACCUGGGACACAUUUUGGAGACGCCAAGCAUAAUCCAUCACCAAUGUGGGACGCCACUGAAGAAUGUUGUACAUAAUUUACGUCUCUGGAGACAUUGGUUGUUCUGUUAUGGGUGUCCCGGCAGGAGAGCUGGGGGGGGAUGUUGGAAUGUUAAUUGGCAUGAGGUUUUUACCCUGCAUGAUUGUUUGGCCUUUUAUGGCUCAGUGGUGUGUGUGUUUGGCAUGAGAGGGAUGAUUUUUGAGCAUCGCUAGGGUUCUAGUGUGUGUGUGUGUGUGUGUCCGACUCACACCUGGCAUGGGGUUCUACGUGCCUGUCCUGGGUUCU
This is a long non-coding RNA of Gadus macrocephalus (Pacific cod), 1625 nucleotides long. RefSeq lists it as uncharacterized. Lineage: Eukaryota; Metazoa; Chordata; Actinopteri; Gadiformes; Gadidae. The transcript is spliced from 3 exons. The record is from RefSeq and is a predicted model, not a curated record.